This 451-nucleotide ribosomal RNA is filed under the name Escherichia coli. Its description in RNAcentral is "partial 23S ribosomal RNA". It matches the Rfam family "Bacterial large subunit ribosomal RNA", at positions 419 to 872 of the family's 2925-position model. Lineage: Bacteria; Pseudomonadati; Pseudomonadota; Gammaproteobacteria; Enterobacterales; Enterobacteriaceae. The record is from RNAcentral.
GGGACACGUGGUAUCCUGUCUGAAUAUGGGGGGACCAUCCUCCAAGGCUAAAUACUCCUGACUGACCGAUAGUGAACCAGUACCGUGAGGGAAAGGCGAAAAGAACCCCGGCGAGGGGAGUGAAAAAGAACCUGAAACCGUGUACGUACAAGCAGUGGGAGCACGCUUAGGCGUGUGACUGCGUACCUUUUGUAUAAUGGGUCAGCGACUUAUAUUCUGUAGCAAGGUUAACCGAAUAGGGGAGCCGAAGGGAAACCGAGUCUUAACUGGGCGUUAAGUUGCAGGGUAUAGACCCGAAACCCGGUGAUCUAGCCAUGGGCAGGUUGAAGGUUGGGUAACACUAACUGGAGGACCGAACCGACUAAUGUUGAAAAAUUAGCGGAUGACUUGUGGCUGGGGGUGAAAGGCCAAUCAAACCGGGAGAUAGCUGGUUCUCCCCGAAAGCUAUUUA